GAUGAACGCUGGCGGCGUGCCUAAUACAUGCAAGUCGAGCGAACAGACGAGGAGCUUGCUCCUCUGACGUUAGCGGCGGACGGGUGAGUAACACGUGGAUAACCUACCUAUAAGACUGGGAUGACUUCGGGAAACCGGAGCUAAUACCGGAUAAUAUAUUGAACCGCAUGGUUCAAUAGUGAAAGACGGUUUUGCUGUCACUUAUAGAUGGAUCCGCGCCGCAUUAGCUAGUUGGUAAGGUAACGGCUUACCAAGGCAACGAUGCGUAGCCGACCUGAGAGGGUGAUCGGCCACACUGGAACUGAGACACGGUCCAGACUCCUACGGGAGGCAGCAGUAGGGAAUCUUCCGCAAUGGGCGAAAGCCUGACGGAGCAACGCCGCGUGAGUGAUGAAGGUCUUCGGAUCGUAAAACUCUGUUAUUAGGGAAGAACAAAUGUGUAAGUAACUAUGCACGUCUUGACGGUACCUAAUCAGAAAGCCACGGCUAACUACGUG
RNAcentral lists this ribosomal RNA (497 nucleotides) under uncultured bacterium. Its description in RNAcentral is "partial 16S ribosomal RNA". It matches the Rfam family "Bacterial small subunit ribosomal RNA", at positions 28 to 507 of the family's 1533-position model. The record is from RNAcentral.